GACGAACGCUGGCGGCGUGCUUAACACAUGCAAGUCGAACGGAAAGGCCCUGCUUUUGUGGGGUGCUCGAGUGGCGAACGGGUGAGUAACACGUGAGUAACCUGCCCUUGACUUUGGGAUAACUUCAGGAAGCUGGGGCUAAUACCGGAUAGGAGCUCCUGCUGCAUGGUGGGGGUUGGAAAGUUUCGGCGGUUGGGGAUGGACUCGCGGCUUAUCAGCUUGUUGGUGGGGUAGUGGCUUACCAAGGCUUUGACGGGUAGCCGGCCUGAGAGGGUGACCGGCCACAUUGGGACUGAGAUACGGCCCAGACUCCUACGGGAGGCAGCAGUGGGGAAUAGUGCACAAUGAGCGGAAGCCUGAUGCAGCAACGCCGCGUGCGGGAUGACGGCCUUCGGGUUGUAAACCGCUUUCGCCUGUGACGAAGCGUGAGUGACGGUAAUGGGUAAAGAAGCACCGGCUAACUACGUG
This 468-nucleotide ribosomal RNA is filed under the name uncultured bacterium. Its description in RNAcentral is "partial 16S ribosomal RNA". It matches the Rfam family "Bacterial small subunit ribosomal RNA", at positions 28 to 507 of the family's 1533-position model. The record is from RNAcentral.